UUAAGUUCAGCGGGUAGUCCUACCUGAUUUGAGGUCAAACAUAAAGAAGGAAGACGUUGCCGUCGACGCGUUGGAGGCACGAGACCUUUCCGUCGUGCGCUUCGGAAGACGGCGAUCAUUAUCACGCCGAAAGCCUUGUCGCGCAAAGUCGAAAGUCGAUCGCAAGCCGAUGCAUUUCAGGAGAGCCCGAGUCCUGCUGG
Molecule: unclassified non-coding RNA, 200 nt
Filed under: Chroogomphus sp.
Lineage: Eukaryota; Fungi; Basidiomycota; Agaricomycetes; Boletales; Gomphidiaceae
Description: partial internal transcribed spacer 2
Source: RNAcentral